CGCGUAGGCGGCUUUGUAAGUCUGGAGUGAAAGUCCUCUUUUCAAGGGAGGAAUUGCUUUGGAAGCUAUAGAGCUUGAGUGCAGGAGAGGUUAUCGGAAUUCCCGGUGUAGCGGUGAAAUGCGUAGAUAUCGGGAGGAACAUCGGUGGCGAAGGCGGGUAACUGGACUGCAACUGACGCUGAGGCGCGAAAGUGUGGGGAGCAAACGA
Molecule: ribosomal RNA, 208 nt
Filed under: uncultured bacterium
Lineage: Bacteria
Description: partial 16S ribosomal RNA
Rfam family: Bacterial small subunit ribosomal RNA
Source: RNAcentral